This 429-nucleotide ribosomal RNA is filed under the name uncultured prokaryote. RNAcentral's name for it is "bacterial SSU rRNA". It matches the Rfam family "Bacterial small subunit ribosomal RNA", at positions 355 to 776 of the family's 1533-position model. RNAcentral also lists the same sequence under 1 other name. The record is from RNAcentral.
UGGGGAAUUUUGGACAAUGGGGGCAACCCUGAUCCAGCAAUGCCGCGUGUGUGAAGAAGGCCUUCGGGUUGUAAAGCACUUUUGUCCGGAAAGAAAUCUUCUGCCCUAAUACGGCGGGAGGAUGACGGUACCGGAAGAAUAAGCACCGGCUAACUACGUGCCAGCAGCCGCGGUAAUACGUAGGGUGCGAGCGUUAAUCGGAAUUACUGGGCGUAAAGCGUGCGCAGGCGGUUCGCUAAGACCGAUGUGAAAUCCCCGGGCUUAACCUGGGAACUGCAUUGGUGACUGGCGGGCUAGAGUGUGGCAGAGGGGGGUAGAAUUCCACGUGUAGCAGUGAAAUGCGUAGAGAUGUGGAGGAAUACCGAUGGCGAAGGCAGCCCCCUGGGCCAACACUGACGCUCAUGCACGAAAGCGUGGGGAGCAAACAGG